Molecule: ribosomal RNA, 767 nt
Filed under: uncultured Lachnospiraceae bacterium
Lineage: Bacteria; Bacillati; Bacillota; Clostridia; Lachnospirales; Lachnospiraceae
Description: bacterial SSU rRNA
Rfam family: Bacterial small subunit ribosomal RNA
Source: RNAcentral
GAUGAACGCUGGCGGCGUGCUUAACACAUGCAAGUCGAACGAGAAGUGGAGACGGAAACCUUCGGGUGGAAGACUUUAUUUCGAGUGGCGGACGGGUGAGUAACGCGUGGGUAACCUGCCUCAUACAGGGGGAUAACAGUUGGAAACGACUGUUAAUACCGCAUAAGACCACAGCACCGCAUGGUGCGGGGGUAAAAACUCCGGUGGUAUGAGAUGGACCCGCGUUCGAUUAGCCAGUUGGCGGGGUAACGGCCCACCAAGGCAACGAUCAGUAGGGGUUCUGAGAGGAAGGUCCCCCACAUUGGAACUGAGACACGGUCCAAACUCCUACGGGAGGCAGCAGUGAGGAAUAUUGGUCAAUGGACGGAAGUCUGAACCAGCCAAGUAGCGUGCAGGAAGACGGCCCUAUGGGUUGUAAACUGCUUUUGUAUGGGGAUAAAGUCAAUCACGUGUGAUUGUUUGCAGGUACCAUACGAAUAAGGACCGGCUAAUUCCGUGCCAGCAGCCGCGGUAAUACGGAAGGUUCGGGUGUUAUCCGGAUUUAUUGGGUUUAAAGGGAGCGUAGGCCGGAGAUUAAGUGUGUUGUGAAAUGUAGACGCUCAACGUCUGACUUGCAGCGCAUACUGGUUUCCUUGAGUACGCACAACGUUGGCGGAAUUCGUCGUGUAGCGGUGAAAUGCUUAGAUAUGACGAAGAACUCCGAUUGCGAAGGCAGCUGACGGGAGCGCAACUGACGCUGAAGCUCGAAGGUGCGGGUAUCGAACAGG